RNAcentral lists this non-coding RNA (29 nucleotides) under Mus musculus (house mouse). Lineage: Eukaryota; Metazoa; Chordata; Mammalia; Rodentia; Muridae. The record is from RNAcentral.
UGGCAGCAAAACUCGGGUCAGCCUUGUAU